AAAAGGACAUUCCUAAAUUUACUAUGGUUUAUGAUUUCUUAUUUUAUUACAUGUAUUAUAAUUUUAACACAUCAUUUUUGCCAAAUUAAUAGCAAAAUUUUAGAAGAAGAUGAGAAGCUUUGUAUUCAAUAAUAGCUCAAUGCCAAUUCA
This 150-nucleotide microRNA precursor is filed under the name Mustela putorius furo (domestic ferret). Its description in RNAcentral is "miRNA (ENSMPUG00000021686.1)". The record is from RNAcentral. Lineage: Eukaryota; Metazoa; Chordata; Mammalia; Carnivora; Mustelidae.